AUUGAACGCUGGCGGCAGGCCUAACACAUGCAAGUCGAGCGGAUGAAGGGAGCUUGCUCCUGGAUUCAGCGGCGGACGGGUGAGUAAUGCCUAGGAAUCUGCCUGGUAGUGGGGGAUAACGUCCGGAAACGGGCGCUAAUACCGCAUACGUCCUGAGGGAGAAAGUGGGGGAUCUUCGGACCUCACGCUAUCAGAUGAGCCUAGGUCGGAUUAGCUAGUUGGUGGGGUAAAGGCCUACCAAGGCGACGAUCCGUAACUGGUCUGAGAGGAUGAUCAGUCACACUGGAACUGAGACACGGUCCAGACUCCUACGGGAGGCAGCAGUGGGGAAUAUUGGACAAUGGGCGAAAGCCUGCUCCAGCCAUGCCGCGUGUGUGAAGAAGGUCUUCGGAUUGUAAAGCACUUUAAGUUGGGAGGAAGGGCAGUAAGUUAAUCCCUUGCUGUUUUGACGUUACCAACAGAAUAAGCACCGGCUAACUUCGUG
Molecule: ribosomal RNA, 484 nt
Filed under: uncultured bacterium
Lineage: Bacteria
Description: partial 16S ribosomal RNA
Rfam family: Bacterial small subunit ribosomal RNA
Source: RNAcentral